Molecule: long non-coding RNA, 545 nt
Organism: Coffea eugenioides
Lineage: Eukaryota; Viridiplantae; Streptophyta; Magnoliopsida; Gentianales; Rubiaceae
Exons: 2
Source: RefSeq, a predicted model, not a curated record
AAUACCUAUCACUGUGAGGCAGCUGGAAGCUGUAGUGAGGUUGAGUGAAGCACUUGCAAGAAUGAGGCUAUUAUUUCCGUCAAAGUCAUUCACAAUAAGCAGACUGGUCAGUCAGAGUGAUAUGGAUUUGUGGAAUUUAGUUCUCAUGCAGCAGUUGACAAAGUCCUUCAGAGCUACAAUGGUUCACCAAUGCCAAAUACAGAACAAGUCUUCCACCUUAACUAGGCAGCCUUUAGCAUGGAUAAUAGUCUUCCUUAUUUUAUCCUUGUUGAGUAAGGACAGACGUAUUUCAUUGUGUAAGCAUUUGGAAGUAAAAAUUUGUUUUGUAAUGUUCUUUAUUCUUUCUGUAAACAUGAAAGUAAAAAUAAACUUCAUUGUUUAUAAAUAAUGUUAUCAAUAUUUCGCAGAUGUGUUAAUGUUAUAUAACCCUGCGCUUGUGAUAAAGAGGCCAUUGUUUUGUCCUCCUGUUUUGUCAUGUAAUAUUUUCUUGUCCUGUAAGGAUAUGGAUGGAUGUGGCUCUUUAUUUAUGUAGCUUCAUAUGAUUA